Molecule: long non-coding RNA, 205 nt
Filed under: Musa acuminata (dwarf banana)
Lineage: Eukaryota; Viridiplantae; Streptophyta; Magnoliopsida; Zingiberales; Musaceae
Description: long non-coding RNA (MACU_LNC011393)
Source: RNAcentral
GCUAUGCGGCUGGAAUUCUGCAAUGUAUCUUUCGUCGUAGAGAUGAAAACUUUGUGACGAAAGGUUUAUGCAGCAAUAUAGGAACAGUUUUUUUUGUUUGUAUUUUCGAAUAAGGAUAACUAAAUUACAGUAGCAGUAAGGUAGGAAACCAGAACCUGUUGCAAUUCACGGGGAGAUCAAAGGAUGAUCCACGGUGGUGGAGAUG